This is a long non-coding RNA of Caretta caretta (loggerhead turtle), 3122 nucleotides long. RefSeq lists it as uncharacterized. Lineage: Eukaryota; Metazoa; Chordata; Testudines; Cheloniidae. The record is from RefSeq and is a predicted model, not a curated record.
UCAGUGAAAACUGGGUCAGGUCCUUAAUUGAUAGUGUUUUGAUUCUACACAUGCACCACAUUUUAGGACUUUGCAUGUUCCUCUAUUGUGCGCUCUCAUGAAUUUAACACAGAUGUACCUGACAAAGAGCAGGGAUGUUUCAAGACAUAACCGGUUCUGUGCUUAAGCCAGAAUAUAAGUCCAAAAUUGAACAAGGAAGAGAAGGAAGCUAUGCAGAGAAACUUGAUCAGCACUUUUGGCUGCCCAUUUGGAGACAGAGUCAUUCCCUUCAACCUUAUUCUCUCCAGCGUCAUUUGCUAAGAGGCAACAAAUUAUCUACUGCCACAGCUCAUGCCUGUUCCUACAAUGAUUUCAACCCAGGAGAAAGAAACUCAUGACCAGAUUCUGGCCCAAUGAUGGAACAAAAGGGAUGACUGGCUUCUCUAAUGGGCCAGUUAGAGAUUCUCUUCAUGAAGGAAUAAAGUCUGUAUCGCUGACUCUCACUGACUUUUGGCUCCUUUGCCAUAGAGCUGUGUUGGGGGUGGGCUGGAGAACAGUGGGGAUAUAGCACGGAGUGCUUUGUGUGCCAAGAACUCCUGGCUGGCAGCUUGUCCCUAGAGAACUGAUCCUGCAGGAAUAACUGAGAGCAGCCUAAAAUAUAACCUGUGGGGGCUGACCUACAUAUUUCUCACACCGGUCUGAUCCCAAAAAAUCUGCCUGCACAUGUUUUGAAGGUCUUUUGAAGUAAGUUGUGUAGUAAGAGACAAACUUUCAAAAAACAGCCUUUAAAACUGCCCCUUUAGUUGUUCAUGAGAAAAAUCUCCCCAUAAGCCCACUGGCACAUGAGAGUAGGAUAGCCAAAAACUUCCUAAUAUUUGCAAAUGUAGGUCUGCCAUGCAAAUAACUAUGUGCAAAAUUGGGGGUUUCAAUGUCAGAGGAGGUUUUGACCUGCAAGCAGAUAGAAUCAUAAAAUGUCAGGGUUGGAAGGGACCUCAGGAGGGCAUCUAGUUCAACCCCCUGCUCAAAGGAAGACCAAUCCCCAACUAAAUCAUCCCAGCCAGGGCUUUGUCAAGCCUGACCUUAAAAACUUCUAAGGAAGGAGAUUCCACCACCUCCCUAGGUAACGCAUUCCAGUGUUUCACCACCCUCCUAGUGAAAAAGUUUUUCCUAAUAUGCAACCUAAACCUCCCCCUCUGCAACUUGAGACCAUUACUCCUCAUUCUGUCAUCUGCUCCCACUGAGAACAGUCUAGAUCCAUCUUCUUUGGAACCCCCUUUCAGGUAGUUGAAAGCAGCUAUCAAAUCCCCCCUCAUUCUUCUCUUCCGCAGACUUAGUCUUCCCUGAUCAGAUGGCAUGCUGAAUGCAAAAUGUAAAAAUAAAUAUAGUGAGGAACGGAAGUUAAAAGCUCUACAUUCCUCCUGCUUCCAGGCCCUGUGUGUAGUUUUCAUCCACAAUCAUACUGCUGUUCCUCAGGUAAGGGUCACAAUCUAGGCAUUAACAUUUCAUAAGACAAACAUGCUUCUCAUAUAGCACACUCAGCUCUGAUAUAAGCCAUGACAAGCAAUCAGUCACUUUCAUUUUCCUUCUGUCUGUUAUUACUUUUCUCUUAACGCUUUUCCUCUCAUGCCUGUUUUCUGUUUGUGUUUGUCCAUUCAUCAACUCUUCUUAAUUCCUUUCUGCCAAAUAUUUGCCAUGCAUCUCUUUCUGCCUCGUGCUAUCCCAUCAUCUUUUCUCUCCUGUUUCCGUCUCUCUCUCAUGCCUUCCUUCUUGAGUACUAGCCUAGCGCUUUUGCUAUCUCCAGUACCAUUACUCUACCUGCAACCUUACAUAUGUCUUUUGCUACAUAUCAAAAUUAAUGUCCCAUGUCUCUGUGUUUGCAUCCUGCAUUUCUCGUCUCUUCAUAUGGCAUUGAUCUAUUUGACUGUUUGCCCCAUUUUCAUUGACUUUUGAGUUUGUGUCUGCCAGUUAAUGUUUAUUGAUCUUCUUUGACUCAGUCAUCUUUAAUCAACUGCACUUUUUCCUCUUCAUGGCUCGCCAUUGGUGGAGGCCCUUGCUAUUGAGGCUCUGAGUGCAAAAUAUGUGUCACACCCACCAUCUUGUCUCCUUCUGUUACAGUGAGUUGGCUGGGGUUGCACAGAGCAUCUUAUAUAGUCCAAAUAGUGGGCUUGGAGCUUGACAAACAAAGUAGGAACACAAGGUCUCUCCUAAAAGAACCUACAGUCUGUAGAAAGAGGCUGCUGGCUGGACUGUAACAAGAAGUAGUGACUUCUUGAGUUGAGGAAUCACAGCUAGUUCCACAAUUUCUGUUUAGACGGGUUUUUUAAAAAUAUUUCAUUUUACUUAUUUACUUUUGUGUAAGUACUUUGGCUCUUUUCACUACUAACAUUCAUCUGCUACGUCAAGUGUUCCGUGAUGGAGGUUCAGUCUCUGCUCCAAGACAGAGCAGCUUGACAGGACUGCUACCAUGAUGAGAAGGUACUAAAGAAAACUGCACAGUUAAGAAUAUGAUCUAGGAAGAUGGGCUGCUUCUCCAUCCCAAAGGCUUCACUGAAGUCAAGCGAUGCUAGUGUCAGCAGAAAAGAGACUGGUUUACAGAAGACUGAAAAAUCCAGACUGAAAUUUGGUUUUUUUCCCCUUAGGAGACCAAGUUAUACCAGAAAAGAUCAGGGGACUAGAGAAGUGAAAAGAAAAGGAAAGAGAAAUAAUUAGUGAACAUUUGUAGGGGUGAUGCGUGCAAAUUAGAGCAAUCUUAAAGUGAAAGAAGUGAAUUCCUUACACCUGACUGUACAAACAAUGGAUGGGGAGGGUGAGCUGGCAGCUCCUGCAGCUUCUAUGCUGCUGACAAAUGCAGUGGCAUCCCUUGAACUCUUAACUUUCCACUGAAAUACUGGCACUUCAAAGGUAACUUACUUUGUGCAGCAGUAGUGCUGUGAUUUGUCCAGUCUACCAGAUACAUUUGGAGCAGUGAAUAGUAACACUUAAGGUUUGUAACAGAAUGUACUCCUGUGUCCACACCCUACACACUAUUGUAAUAAUCUUCUCUCUCUUUGUAGUUGAUAAACUCGUUCUAUUGUUAUAUCUAAUCCAGUGUGUUUAAACUGAAAUGUUUGGGAAACUCCAUUUGGGGUAACAAAGUGUAUGUG